UACGUAGGUGGCAAGCGUUGUCCGGAUUUACUGGGCGUAAAGAGCGCGCAGGCGGUCGAUCAAGUCGCGUGUGAAAGCCCCCGGCUCAACUGGGGAGGGUCACGCGAUACUGAUCGACUCGAAGGCAGGAGAGGGUAGUGGAAUUCCCGGUGUAGUGGUGAAAUGCGUAGAUAUCUGGAGGAAUACCGGUGGCGAAGGCGGCAUCCUGGACCAUUACUGACGCUGAGGCGCGAAAGCUAGGGGAGCAAACGGG
RNAcentral lists this ribosomal RNA (253 nucleotides) under uncultured bacterium. Its description in RNAcentral is "partial 16S ribosomal RNA". It matches the Rfam family "Bacterial small subunit ribosomal RNA", at positions 524 to 776 of the family's 1533-position model. The record is from RNAcentral.